AACGAACGCUGGCGGCAUGCCUAACACAUGCAAGUCGAACGAAACCUUCGGGUCUAGUGGCGCACGGGUGCGUAACGCGUGGGAACCUGCCCUUAGGGUCGGAAUAACUCCCAGAAAGGGGUGCUAAUACCGGAUAAUGUCUUCGGACCAAAGAUUUAUCGCCUUUGGAUGGUCCCGCGUUGGAUUAGCUAGUUGGUAGGGUAAAAGCCUACCAAGGCGACGAUCCAUAGCUGGUCUGAGAGGAUGAUCAGCCACACUGGGACUGAGACACGGCCCAGACUCCUACGGGAGGCAGCAGUGGGGAAUAUUGGAAAAUGGGCGAAAGCCUGAUCCGGCAAUGCCGCGGGAGUGAUGAAGGCCUUAGGGUUGUAAAGCUCUUUUACCCGGGAUGAUCAUGACAGUACCGGGAGAAUAAGCCCCGGCUAACUCCGUG
RNAcentral lists this ribosomal RNA (433 nucleotides) under uncultured bacterium. RNAcentral's name for it is "partial 16S ribosomal RNA". It matches the Rfam family "Bacterial small subunit ribosomal RNA", at positions 29 to 507 of the family's 1533-position model. The record is from RNAcentral.